UGGGCAGGUUUCCCCAGAGCACGGUCGGC
RNAcentral lists this non-coding RNA (29 nucleotides) under Homo sapiens (human). The record is from RNAcentral. Lineage: Eukaryota; Metazoa; Chordata; Mammalia; Primates; Hominidae.